Molecule: ribosomal RNA, 467 nt
Filed under: uncultured bacterium
Lineage: Bacteria
Description: partial 16S ribosomal RNA
Rfam family: Bacterial small subunit ribosomal RNA
Source: RNAcentral
GAUGAACGCUGGCGGCGCGCCUAACACAUGCAAGUCGAACGAUUAAAGCACCUUCGGGUGUGUAUAAAGUGGUGAACGGCUGAGUAACACGUGGGCAACCUGCCCCUUUCAUUGGGAUAGCCACGGGAAACCGUUGAUAAUACCGAAUACUUCGAGACUUCCGCAUGGAAGACUCGAGUAAGCUACGGCUGAGAGGUAUGGUCCCGCGGCCUGUUCGCUUGUUGGUGGGGUAACGGCCUACCAAGGCAAUGAUGGGUAGCUGGGUUGAGAGACCGACCAGACAGAUUGGGAAGGAGACACGGCCCAGACUCCUACGGGAGGCAGGAGUGGGGAAGGUUACACAAUGGGAGAGAGGCAGAUGCAGCGACGCCGCGUGCGGGAUGAAGGCCUUCGGGUUGUAAACCGCUUUCAGCAGGGACGAGGCGAAAGUGACGGUACCGGCAGAAGAAGCCCCGGCUAACUACGUG